This 376-nucleotide ribosomal RNA is filed under the name uncultured bacterium. RNAcentral's name for it is "bacterial SSU rRNA". It matches the Rfam family "Bacterial small subunit ribosomal RNA", at positions 524 to 898 of the family's 1533-position model. The record is from RNAcentral.
UACGGAGGGUGCAAGCGUUGUUCGGAUUUAUUGGGCGUAAAGCGCGUGUAGGCGGUUUGUUAAGUCUGAUGUGAAAGCCCUGGGCUCAACCUGGGAAGUGCAUUGGAAACUGGCAGACUUGAAUACGGGAGAGGGUAGUGGAAUUCCUAGUGUAGGAGUGAAAUCCGUAGAUAUUAGGAGGAACACCGGUGGCGAAGGCGGCUACCUGGACCGAUAUUGACGCUGAGACGCGAAAGCGUGGGGAGCAAACAGGAUUAGAUACCCUGGUAGUCCACGCCGUAAACGAUGAGUACUAGGUGUUGCGGGUAUUGACCCCUGCAGUGCCGCAGCUAACGCAUUAAGUACUCCGCCUGGGAAGUACGGUCGCAAGACUAAA